UUUCGGGAAAUAAUAUGUUUAUUUAUUGAUUGUUAAAUGUAUACAUACAACACAUUUGCAAUUUUCAGUAGUAUGAGUUUUCAUGUUUAUCAUAUAGUUUCUUGUGUUACUAAACUGUUUACCACAUACAUCAUACAUGUCAUAUAUGCGAGGUUUUUAUAAACUACGAGUUCUCAUGUGUCUGGUGUCACUAAACUGUACACCACAUAUAUCACGGGUACGGGUGCGAGGUUCUCACCAGUAUGAGUUAUCAUGUGUCUAUCAUAGAGUCUUGUGUCACUAAACUGUUAUCCACAAACAACGCAUGCGCGAUGUUUUCAUCAGUAUGAGUCCUCAUAUGUCUAUCAUAGUGUCUGGUGUCUCUAAACUGUCUACCACAUGCAUAGCAUUGGUAAGAUAUUCACCUGCAUGAGUAAGUUUCAUGUGUAAAAGACGGAUACUAUUGAGGCUAAACUCUUUCCCGCAAACAUUACAUUUGUAAUUUAAAAGUUUAUCAUUUGUUACAGUAUUAUGAGUACAACUUUGAGUUUUCAUGUGUAUACGGACCGUGCUCUUGUCCCUAAACCCUUUUCCACAUACAUCACAUGUGUAAGGUUUUUCAUCUGUAUGAGUUAUCAUGUGUAUAUGAAGGGAUCUGAUGCUCCUAAAACCUUUGCCACAUACAUCACAUUUGUAAGGUUUUUCACCUGUAUGUAUUCUAAUGUGUGUGAUUAAAUCCUGAUUUGACUUAAAUCCUUUACCACAUACAUCACAAAUGUAAGGUUUGCGUUGCUCACCAGUAUGAGUUCUCAUGUGUCUAAGACAAGAACUGUUCUUGCCAAACUCCUUACCACACACAUCGCAUUUGUAAGGUUUAUCUCCAGUAUGAGUUCUCAUGUGUCUAAAAUAAGAACUGUUGUUGCCAAACUCUUUACCACACACAUCGCAUUUGUAAAGUUUAUCACAAUUAUUAAUAUUCGUGUGUGUAUCAAUGUUACAUUUGUCGCUUAAUCCUUUAUCACCUGCUUCUCUGGUAUUCGGUUUUUCAUCAGUAUGAGUUUUCAUGUGUUUAUUAUAGGAAGUGAGGUCACUAAACCCUAUUUCACAUACAUCACAUUUGUAAAAUUCGUCACCAGUAUGAGUUCGCAUGUGUUUGUGGAAAUAACUGUUGUUGUCAAACUCUCUACCACAUAUAUCACAUGUGUAACGUUUAUUAUAUUUAUAACCAGUAUGAAUUGUCAUGUGUUUAUUGCAGCCACUUUUUCUACCGAAAUUUUUACCACAGACAUCACAUGUGUAAGGUUUUUCACCGGUAUGCAUUCUUGUGUGUGCCGUUAAGGAACUGCAGACAUUGAACCCUUUACCACAUACAUCACAUAUGUAAGGUUUUACACUAGUGUGAGUUCUUGUAUGUUUCUUAUAUGAUUUAUAGUAACCAAAUCCUUUACCACAUAAAUCACAUGUGUAAGGUUUUUCACGCUUAUCACCUGUGUGAAUUCGCAUGUGUCUGAGCAAGUUACUUUUGUGACCAAACCCUUGGCUACAUAAAUUACAUGUGUAACGUUUUGCAUCAGUAUGACUUUUUUUAUGUUUCAUACAGUUUCUGGAGUUAGUAAACCCUUGACCACAUACAUCACAUGUGUAACGCUUUUUACCAGUAUGAGUUCGUGUGUGUUUUGUUAAGGUUUUAUCGAACCUAAAACUUUUACCACACACAUCACAUUUAUAAGGUUUAUCCUGUUUAUCAACACUAUGAAUAAUCAUGUGUUGAAGGAAGCCUUUUUUGUCACUAAAUCCUUUAAC
RNAcentral lists this long non-coding RNA (1782 nucleotides) under Mytilus galloprovincialis (Mediterranean mussel). Lineage: Eukaryota; Metazoa; Mollusca; Bivalvia; Mytilida; Mytilidae. The record is from RNAcentral.